Molecule: long non-coding RNA, 302 nt
Organism: Lineus longissimus
Lineage: Eukaryota; Metazoa; Nemertea; Pilidiophora; Heteronemertea; Lineidae
Exons: 3
Source: RefSeq, a predicted model, not a curated record
AGAGAGUCAACCAGAAGACACCGAAUGUUGGUAAUCCACUUCAUCCAAUUCCUGUCAAGACCCCACAAGCCUGGUUAUCCAUCGGAAUUGAUCUAAUUGGCCCUCUCACUGAAACACCGCGCGGUAAUAAAUACAUAUGCACUGUAACGUGCUAUUACAGCAAGAUGGCACAGGCCAAACCAUUGAAGUCGAAGGAGGCGGUCGGUGUCGGACGCGUACUUUACGAACUGUUCUUAGUCUUUGGAUUCCCCAAAAAACUCCUGUCCGAUCAGGGAAGAGAAUUUAAUAAUGCUGUCGUAGGG